GCUCAACCGAGGAAGUGCUUCGAAAACUGGUAAACUUGAGUGCAGAAGAGGAAAGUGGAACUCCAUGUGUAGCGGUGGAAUGCGUAGAUAUAUGGAAGAACACCAGUGGCGAAGGCGGCUUUCUGGUCUGUAACUGACGCUGAGAUUCGAAAGCAUGGGUAGCAAACAGGAUUAGAUACCCUGGUAGUCCAUGCCGUAAACGAUGAGUGCUAAGUGUUGGAGGGUUUCCGCCCUUCAGUGCUGCAGCUAACGCAUUAAGCACUCCGCCUGGGGAGUACGAUCGCAAGAUUGAAACUCAAAGGAAUUGACGGGGGCCCGCACAAGCGGUGGAGCAUGUGGUUUAAUUCGAAGCAACGCGAAGAACCUUACCAGGUCUUGACAUACCAUGAAAAGCUUAGAGAUAAGUCUUUCCCUUCGGGGACAUGGAUACAGGUGGUGCAUGGUUGUCGUCAGCUCGUGUCGUGAGAUGUUGGGUUAAGUCCCGCAACGAGCGCAACCCUUAUUAUCAGUUGCCAGCAUUCAGUUGGGCACUCUGGUGAGACUGCCGGUGAUAAACCGGAGGAAGGUGGGGACGACGUCAAAUCAUCAUGCCCCUUAUGACCUGGGCUACACGCGUGCUACAAUGGUCGGUACAACG
RNAcentral lists this ribosomal RNA (637 nucleotides) under uncultured bacterium. RNAcentral's name for it is "bacterial SSU rRNA". It matches the Rfam family "Bacterial small subunit ribosomal RNA", at positions 607 to 1244 of the family's 1533-position model. The record is from RNAcentral.